CACGUAGGGCGCAAGCGUUGUCCGGAAUUAUUGGGCGUAAAGAGCUCGUAGGCGGUCUGUUGCGUCCGCUGUGAAAACCCGGGGCUUAACCCCUGGCUUGCAGUGGAUACGGACAGACUAGAGGUAGGUAGGGGAGAAUGGAAUUCCCGGUGUAGCGGUGAAAUGCGCAGAUAUCGGGAGGAACACCGGUGGCGAAGGCGGUUCUCUGGGCCUUACCUGACGCUGAGGCGCGAAAGCUAGGGGAGCGAACAGG
Molecule: ribosomal RNA, 253 nt
Filed under: uncultured bacterium
Lineage: Bacteria
Description: partial 16S ribosomal RNA
Rfam family: Bacterial small subunit ribosomal RNA
Source: RNAcentral